Molecule: ribosomal RNA, 460 nt
Filed under: uncultured bacterium
Lineage: Bacteria
Description: partial 16S ribosomal RNA
Rfam family: Bacterial small subunit ribosomal RNA
Source: RNAcentral
CCUACGGGAGGCAGCAGUGAGGAAUAUUGGUCAAUGGACGAGAGUCUGAACCAGCCAAGUAGCGUGAAGGAUGACUGCCCUAUGGGUUGUAAACUUCUUUUAUCUGGGAAUACAACGUUACACGUGUGGGAUUUUGUAUGUACCAUAUGAAUAAGGAUCGGCUAACUCCGUGCCAUCAGCCGCGGUAAUACGGAGGAUCCGAGCGUUAUCCGGAUUUAUUGGGGUUAAAGGGAGCGUAGGUGGAUUGUUAAGUCAGUUGUGAAAGGUUGGGGCUCAACCGUAAAAUUGCAGUUGAAACUGGCAGUCUUGAGUACAGUAGAGGUGGGCGGAAUGCGUGGUGUAGCGGUGAAAUGCUUAGAUAUCACGAAGAACUCCGAUUGCGAAGGCAGUUCACUGGACUGCAACUGACACUGAGGCUCGAAGGUGUGGGUAUCAAACAGGAUUAGAUACCCCAGUAGUC